RNAcentral lists this long non-coding RNA (5679 nucleotides) under Podarcis lilfordi (Lilford's wall lizard). The record is from RNAcentral. Lineage: Eukaryota; Metazoa; Chordata; Lepidosauria; Squamata; Lacertidae.
CGAUCUCCCCCCGUGAGCUUAGCAGCGAUCCCAAGGAGCGGAGACGUCGCAGCAGCAGUAGCAGCGCCACUCCACCGUCUCGCCCCGUCCCGUCGGGCUCUCCUGCGCUCUUCGCCUCCUUUCUCCGCUCGCUUUCCCCGGGAAAGAGCUGCUCUCUCAGACUCCGCCAGCAUGCUGACCUGCCGCCUCCAGUGCGCCCUCGCCCUGCUCGUCUCGGUCGCCCUGGCGCUGAGUACCGUGGCCGCCGCCCCCUCGGACCCGAGGCUCCGGCAAUUCCUGCAGAAGUCGCUGGCCGCAGCGGCGGGGAAACAGGUAAGGGACCCAGGAGUCCGAGGGAGGGUGGAGGGAGAGAGGGGCGUGGGGAGCAGAGCUAGAAGGAAACCGGAGCGUCUCUGAGCAGGUGCAGAAUCCCUUUUCCUUAUCACUACUUCUAAGCAGUAGCAGCUGCUGGAUCAGACCCCAGACCUGCUUCCCCUUAAUGCAGAGGUAGACUGCCGCUGUCCAUAGAGGUUCCACUCCUCAGUUCUAUAAAGAGUUAAUACGAACAGCAGAAGAUAUCCCAAAUGGGUGUUUGGCAAGAGGUUAUUUUAUUUUAUUCAUUUAAUAAGUUUUCCCCUAGAAAUGGUAAAUCCGGAUUAACUGGGUGGGGAUACAGGUUGGCAUUUUGAUGAAGCCCACUGCACCACGGAACUGCUGAGUUAAGUGUCACAGGUAGCACUGACCUCUCAGCAAAAAACGGGUUGGAAGCGCCCUUACAUGCACUUACUGGGGGUAAAUCAAUUUGCACUCAGUGCGGGGCUAGAUGACCCGCAUUGUACUAGAUGACCCAGAUCUUCCAAUUCUACAGUUCUGUGAUUAUAUGCGUAAGCUUGUGCUGUAGCAAAAGAAACCUGCAAGUAGACAAAGGCACUAAACGAGCAGCGUGAACUUAAAAAAAAAUCAGUCAUAAAGCCAGCCUCGGAUGCAACCACACCACAACCGAAAUUAAUCCCGCUCGCUGAUAUAGACAUCUGGGAGACAUGACUGAGAGACGCAAAUUCCAAAGGUCCUAGGACUUCCUCGACACUUUGGGUGUGUCUUAGACUAAACUCUGAUCAGGGGGAAGCCUGUAGCUCAGAGUCCAAGCACGCCAUGCUCCAAGGUUUAAUCCUUGGCCAAAGCUCAGUGACAGAACAUCUGCUUUGCGUGCAGAACGUCCCAAACUCAAUUCCCACUGUCAACCUCUCCAGCUGGGAGAGACUCCUGCUGGAAACCACAGAGAGCCACUGGUCAGGGUAGACAACAGUGGGCUAGUUGGCUCAGCAGGUUCUGACCCAGUAUGAGGCAGGUUCCUAUGUUCCUUUUAAACCAGACCUUAAUUCGGGACCAUGAGAACUGGAAUCUGCUUUAUUUUUCAGAGGAAGAGGUCAGUGGUAGAGCAUAUGCAUCUGCAUCUGCGCUGCAAUUUCCCCACCCCACAUUGUUGUCAUCAGUUUCAAAAGCACAACUAAACACAUGCAAUACUAGAGAAAAGCUUCCCCGGAAUUUCCUAACAGCAGAAAGCAUUUUUAUGUUUUCAUCCAGUCCUUUUAUGUAAUAGGGAACUGGCCAGGGCUAACAGAGUUGUUUGGUGCGGAGCUUUCCGUGGUGCUGAAACGAACAUCACUCCAACAGCUCAGCCUGACCAAGGCUACUCAGAAGGAAGCCUUGCAUCCUAGCGAGUGUGUUUACAUUGCAGGCUUAAGAAAGUGACCAGAGGGAUGUUGCAGAGGGGAAAGGAAGUUGGCUUCAAUGCCAUGUAAGAGCACAGAGUUUCAGGGGCCAACUAUGUUGGCGAGCAUAGGAACAAAGAAAUCUGCCUCACACUGACUGUUGGUCCAUCUUGCUCAGUAUUAUCCACAGUGAUUGGCAGAACCUUUCCAGGGUUUCAGACAGGGAGUCUUCCCCAGCUACCUGGAAAUGUUUGGGUUUGAAUCUGGGACCUUUUGCCGGCAAAGCAUGCUCUCCACCACUGAGCCAAGCAAAUGUUUGAGCUGCACAAAAUGGCUCAAUGCAAUAGUGAGGUGCAAAUAUAGUGGUACCUCGGGUUAAGAACUUAAUUCGUUCUGGAGGUCCGUUCUUAACCUGAAACUGUUCUUAACCUGAAGCACCACUUCAGCUAAUGGGGCCUCCCACUGCUGCCGCACCGCCAUUUUGCGAUUUCUGUUCUCAUCCUGAAGCAAAGUUCUUAACCCGAGGUACUAUUAGCGGAGUCUGUAUCCUGAAGCAUCUGUAACCUGAAGUGUCUGUAACCUGAGGUACCACUGUAACUCUUUUUAAAGGUGCUGGUCCAAUAGCUGAAGAAUCUUUUAAAUUUUAUCUGUCUUUUCCGCUGAAAAUCUCCACCAGCUUAAAGAGCUGGUUCAUACAUGCUGUGACCCACCCUUCUGAGUGGAUCCAGAUUCCUGCUUCCUUCCGCUUUUGUUAGAUGCUGCCUUCUGCAAUAGCUGCAUCCAUAGGAAGCCAGACCAUUUGGUCCCUCUAGCCCAGUGUUGUCUACACUAAGUGGCAAUGGUUCUGAGGCAUGUUUCAGGUGGGGAGUUUCUUCCAGCCUUAAGUGGAGACAACGGGGAUCAAACCUCGGUGCUGUACCAUUGAGCUAGGGUCCUUCCAUUUGGCAGUGGGUGCCAAAGGGACCGAGGAAUGACAGGUGCUGGCACUGCCCUCCACCCACAAGCCUUGAACAUUUUCCUUUCAGAAAAUGUGAUGGCCUCAAAAUCCACUACAUGGUGAACCUCUCUAGACGAUGGGCCUCCUGUUCAGGGCCAGUCCUACUGUGGGUGAUGAUCAUGUGGAAGAUCCAAACCAACCUCUUUUCCUUGGAUCAAUUAUUGUACAGAUCACAGCUCCAUCUGCAAAUAAUUGGGGGGGGGAUAGGAGAGGGUAUGAGGUGAGAUCUUCAUAUCUGCCUUGGUGGAUCUGACGAAAGUUCACCUAGUCCAGCAUUUGCCUGCAAUUGCCAGCCAGGAGCUCCUGGAAAACUGAGAAGAAAAUUACUUACUAUUUCCAGCUGUUGUUUGUCCCUGCCCUCAAAGAAAACCUCACCUCUGGUACUGAGAGGCAAAAUGUGUCUGUACAUGGGGACGGCUUUAGCUAUUUUCUUCAGCAACCGCUUCUGGAUCCGUCUUAUAUGAUCUAAUCUAAUACUGAAUUCGGACCACUGAUCCAUCUUGCUCAACAUGGUUGACACUGACUGGCAGUUGCUCCCCAGGGUGUAGGUGGGUUCUCUCCCAGCCCUAUCUAGAGAAGUUUGAACCCAGGGUCCUCUUCAUGCCAAACAGAUGCUUUCUCUCUCUCUCUCUUUUUUAACCAUAAUAUUUAUUAGUUUUCAAUAGACAUAACAAAAAAGAGAAUAUGCAACAACACAACAACAACAUAAUAAAAAGUGAAAAAUAAGAAAAAAGAAUAACAAACUUAACAUGCCUAAACAGAAAAAAAAGAAACUCAACCAAUUAAUUAAAAUCCAUUUUCAUAAACAUUUUAGUUGACUUCCUCUAAUCUCCUCCAUCUGAAUUUCCUCUUAAUUUGAAUGUAGCAGUUUCCAAUAUCAUUAUUUCAUAAAACAAUAUUACAGUCAUAUUCCAGUUUCUUUACCUUUCUUAUAGUACAUUUUCUUAUUUAUACAUUUAAGUCUAAUUUAAUCCUAAGACUGAUUGGUUCUUUCAAGUGGUUACAUAUCUUUAAUAUUAGAAUAUUUAUUCAAAUAGUCUUUAAAUUUAUUCCAAUCUUCUUGGUAGUCCUCUUCUUUCUGGUUGUGGAUUCUCCCAGUGAGAUCAGCCAACUCCAUAAAUUCCAUCAUCUCAAACAGAUGCUUUCUCACGGAGGUAUGAUCCUUCCCAAUUAGGAACAUGAGAAACUGUGUUAUAACGAGUCAGAUCAGUGGUCCAUCCAGCUCAGGAGAUGGCAAUGGCUCUCCAGGGGCCUUUCCAAGGAUGGAGUGGGGAAUCUCUGGACCACAGACCAAACAUGGCCCGCCAGGCCCCUCCAUCCAUCCAGCCCAGGCCACCCCCCCCUCUUCCCAGACCACACCCCUCCCCAGCUCUGCUUUGUGCCUUCCUUGACCACUUUUGCCUGACUAGAAUGUCUCCUUGAACUUGCCUGCCUAAAUGGAGGUGUGUGGAUAGGGGUGUAGCCUACCAUGCGAAUGUAAGAUUCACACCUGUUGCUCUGCCCUCUGUUGUCUUUGGCUCCACCCACUACCGGCAUGUUACCACCAGAACAUUUCCCAUGAGGUCAUGUGACCCUCGGGCUGUGAAAAUUCCCCACUGCCAUUCUAGGUCCUCUUCAAGCUGUGCCUUUGUCCGAGAUGAAAUGAAUGUAAAUAGAAGGCAUUGUCCAGGGAUACAGAACCAAUUUCUGCCCCAGUGGCUCAUGUGGUCAUCAUCAAAAAAACUAUUGACAUGAGCCUCUCUCUUGUCUGAUAUGCAAUAUUGGUUAACUGGGUUUUUUUGUGAAAAAGCACAAACAUAACAAAAAGAGAGAAAACAACAACAACAACAACAACAACAACAACAACAAACGAAAGUGUAAACCAUAAAGCAUCUCAGCCUGGGAGGACAAAAGGACAAAGAUAUAGUGAAUUCAUUUAUUUUAUAAAAUUGAUUGUAAAAGAAAACCUCAAAGCAGUUUACAAAGAGAAUACAGCAAAAAAAUUAUCAGUCAAAUCAGUUAAAACAACUCUUUAAGAUAUUCAAAAGGUAAAACUGGCAAUGAAAUGAACUAAAAACAGACUCACACAUGCAUCAGCUGUCUAAAUAUCUGGGUAGGUUUGUCCAGUUUUUGCAGGUGGUUAAAAGAGUACAGUGCAGGUGCCUGUCAAUAGGCAGGGAGUUCCAAAGUGUAGGUGCUGAUUUCUCACAAAUGCGGAAUGAAUACUAUGUGGCACCUGUAAUGGUGCCAGCUGCAAAGGAGUAAUCAAGUUUUGACUCAUGCGAAGAUUCCCUUUACCAAUAACAAACAAACAAAACCAAGGUAUUCUCUACCUCUGAGUCCCAUCGUUAUUGAGAAUAGAGGUUCUGUGAAAUCUGGUAUGAGCCAGACAUUUGCACCUACUGGUGGCCCUGAGAUGCAAGGAAUCAUGCUAUAUAGCAAGAUAUAUGCUGAGCUCAGUCCCUCUCUCUCUCCCUCUCCCCCCCCUCUCUUCCUCAAAGGAAUUGGCCAAGUAUUUCCUGGCAGAAUUGCUCUCAGAACCAAGCCAGACGGACAACGAGGCCCUGGAAUCAGACGAUUUGUCUCGUGGUGGCGAGCAGGAUGAGGUGAGGCUGGAGCUGGAGAGAUCGGCCAACUUGAACCCAGCUCUGGGACCCAGAGAGCGCAAAGCCGGUUGCAAGAACUUCUUCUGGAAGACCUUCACAUCCUGUUAGCUCAAGAAACCCUUUCCUUUCCCUCUGUCUCCACCUCCAGCCUCUCCUGUCUUUCCCAGUCCCUUCAUGCCAGGAGCUGAAGACUGUAUUGUAUAAAAUUCAUUGUUAAGGUAAUAUGAAAAGGAAAAAAAAAAAAUACACCUCACUUUGAUUUUGAAGUUGUUUUAAUAAAACAUUCAGUUUCAAUUGUACACAAUUUCCUUGGCGUUUGUGAUUUCUGACUAUUUCUUCAUGACACACUGACCCCCACCCCCCACCCCACAUUGCAAGUCACUCUGAUGUGCCCUUUUAAAUCCCU